UAAUUGUGAUCUAUCGAUAACGUGGCAUAAAGUAGAUUUGGACUGCAAAAUUUUUUUCCCUUUCAUUAAAAUCGAUAUUAUGUCUGUCUAGAAUGAACUUAAUAAUAUUGGAAUCUACAUUUUAAUAGCAUGAGGUAUUAAAGUUGAAUUAAAACUCAAUUAAAGUUAAACAAAUAAUAAGUAUUUUGUUACUUGUGAAGGAUUUGUUUCAAUAAACAAUAGGACAAUGGAAUAAUAGGC
This 240-nucleotide unclassified non-coding RNA is filed under the name Hevea brasiliensis (rubber tree). The record is from RNAcentral. Lineage: Eukaryota; Viridiplantae; Streptophyta; Magnoliopsida; Malpighiales; Euphorbiaceae.